RNAcentral lists this non-coding RNA (202 nucleotides) under Aminobacter sp. The record is from RNAcentral. Lineage: Bacteria; Pseudomonadati; Pseudomonadota; Alphaproteobacteria; Hyphomicrobiales; Phyllobacteriaceae.
AGUCUCGACCCCGGAAUCGGUUCCACCGAAAGGUGGAUGAAAAGGGAACACGGUGAGGCCGAAGGCCAAAUCCGCGACUGCCCCCGCAACUGUAACCGUUGAGCCUCUUCCAUCAUGCCACUGAACGCAUUCGUGCGUUCGGGAAGGCGGAAGAAGGCUAUGACACGGAAGUCAGGAGACCUGCCCGUUCCGGUCACCCAUG